Molecule: unclassified non-coding RNA, 344 nt
Filed under: uncultured fungus
Lineage: Eukaryota; Fungi
Description: sequence contains 5.8S rRNA gene
Source: RNAcentral
GAACGCACCUUGCGCCCUUUGGCUAUUCCGAAGGGCAUGCCUGUUUGAGUAUCAGUAAACACCUCAAAGACUUCAAUUUGUUUUGAAUGGCUUUGGACUUGAGCAAUCCCAACACCAGUCUUUACGAUCGGUGGAGGGUUGCUUGAAAUGCAGGUGCAGCUGGACAUUCUCCUGAGCUAAAAGCAUAUUUAUUUAGUCCCGUCAAACGGAUUAUUACUUUUGCUGCAGCUAACAUAAAGGGAGUUUGACCGUAUUGGCUGACUGAUGCAGGAUUUCACAAGGGUCGGCAACGAUUCUUGUAAAACUCGAUCUCAAAUCAAGUAAGACUACCCGCUGAACUUAAG